Molecule: long non-coding RNA, 1602 nt
Organism: Myotis daubentonii (Daubenton's bat)
Lineage: Eukaryota; Metazoa; Chordata; Mammalia; Chiroptera; Vespertilionidae
Exons: 4
Source: RefSeq, a predicted model, not a curated record
GUCACCGGGAGUUUCCCACGAGUCCAGGCUGCCAGCGGGACCGAGGACAAUCCGGCCAGCACUUACUUGACUUCUUUGAGCUUCCUGAGGCCUCCCAGGUCAGAUCGCGCCCCAGCCAGAAUCGCUAUCUGCCUGGGAUGCUCAGAGGACCGUCACGUCUGCUGCAGGUGACAACACUUUCUACUUCACCGGGACUUCUGCCCAAGUGGAUCGGGGAAGAAAGCACUGUGCUUGCUGCCCACAGUUCCGGGCACAUGACUCACUAGCCAGCACCGGUGGGUUCCGGUCUGCCUCCUUGAAGCUGCUUUGACUUGCAGUGUUUUACUGUGAUCAGGUCUACUGUUUUCCCAUGGAGAGGCUCAGCCUCCAGCAUCUGGCCUUCAGAGAAGAGACUCACCUGGCUCUUGAGAUGUGCUGUUCCCACUCUCCCCUCUGUUCCUCAGUGUCCUGGUGGGAGGUUCGCCAGCUGGGCAUGCACAGAGUGUGGGCGAGGCCUCACAUGACCAAUCCACUCUAACACUUCUGCCUCGUGAACUUUUGAACUGCUUCUUCUUUAUUAAAACAAGAGACAGUGGGCACUUGCAUGUCACAUUUAUCAGGCCGUCACUGGAUGCAUUUGACAGUCAAUCAUCCCAGUAAACUUUUAGAGCCUUUUCUAGUCACCCACUCUGCAGAUCUGAAUGCAGAGUCUCUGUCUGGCUGGCCCAAAUUAAUACGUUCCCUCUCAUCCCAAUCUAUGUUUCUUUGAACAUUCUUCUCCAAUAUGAAUUACUUACACACAUGUUCCAUGCUUUUCUGCUUGUGUGAGUCACUGCACUCAUGUAGUUCUCCCAAGGAGCAGGACACUUCCUCAGGGUCACAUGUUGUCCUUCGCAUUUAGGUUCAGCUGGCAACGGCUGCCCGAGAGCUCGCUGCUGCCAUCACACCUAGUGUGUUUCCUUUUUUUGGGGGGGGAGGGGGAGGGCACAUUUUCCAAGUCUGUGACAAAUCAGGAAUUAUUCUAGGUUCCGUCCAUACAACUCCACUAGGAAUCUUUCCAAUUUUCUCACCUUCGGCUGAACCUUUGAAAAAGUAUAAUCUAUUCAUGUCCUUAAUCCCUUCCAUUGGAUCUGGAGUCUUGGAUAUAAACUAAGUAGGCCAGCUUCAGUGAUGAUAAAGAGCAAGUCCAUGUCUGCUGCAGGGGACCACGCAGAAUUUUUUCAGAAUGUCCGUGUUGUCACACAGACAUGGGCACUAGAUGCAGCAAACCCGUUGGAGCCACCGUGCUCCUCGCUCCCCACCUGCCGAUGCUGGAGCCCAGGACCUAGAGAUUGCCUUGCUUGGCAGGAGUUUGGAUUCAGAACUCGGUUUUGUAAUCAUUAGCCAUUGAUUCUCUUUCUUUUCUCAGACAUGAUUCGUCCAUAAUUGGCUGAUGGCUGAUGCCCUACAUCACACCUUCUACUGCCCAGUCUCAACAGCUGACUCACCUGACCCUUGUUGAACAGUGUCAGCAGCCAGAAUAUAUGUAUAUUAUUCAAAACCCAAAAGAGGUGCCUCUUCUCUUGGGCACACGUGGGACUAAGAGAGUUGCUUUAAAUAUUUUACAAUUUCGGGGGGGGGGGA